GACGAACGCUGGCGGCGCGCUUAACACAUGCAAGUCGAGCGAGAACCAGGGCUUCGGCCCUGGGGACAGCGGCGAACGGGUGAGUAACACGUGGGUCAUCUGCCCUCGGCACCGGAAUAGCCCGGGGAAACCCGGAUUAAUGCCGGAUGGCCCGCCCGCUCUACGGGAGGCAGCAGUGGGGAAUAUUGGGCAAUGGAGGAAACUCUGACCCAGCGACGCCGCGUGAGGGAUGAAGGCCUUCGGGUUGUAAACCUCUUUCAGUAGGGAAGAAGCGAAAGUGACGGUACCUACAGAAGAAGCACCGGCUAACUAUGUG
RNAcentral lists this ribosomal RNA (316 nucleotides) under uncultured bacterium. Its description in RNAcentral is "bacterial SSU rRNA". It matches the Rfam family "Bacterial small subunit ribosomal RNA", at positions 28 to 507 of the family's 1533-position model. The record is from RNAcentral.